AAGGAGUCUCCUUCUCUGUUCUGCUUUGUACGCCCAAAACCUAAGCUAGGGUAAACCAUUUCAGGUGAAAUUGGGUCUGUCCUGGAUCACCUCAAUUCCCUACGAAAUACGACGCCAUCGUUGAAGAUCGAAAUUGAGAGCCUCGGUCUUUUUAUCUCUCUUUGAUUAGGUAAUUGAUGUUGAUUUCAGUUUUUAGGUCUUCUUUGAAGCGAGGAGAUUUAGAUUGUUUGGUCCGAUCGUUUGAUUUCCCCUUGGUUGCCGAGAAAAUUGAAAAUUGAAAAGUAAAGUUUGAAUCUUUUGUUUUGUUUUCCGUUGGGAAGAUCAUCAUCCAACUUCUUAUACUAGGGAAAGUUGACCAGAUUUUUAUUUAUUUUUUAUGGAAUCUCGUAUAGUUCUGUCUGUAUUAGGGCUUGAUUGUGGAAAAGGAGGCUUUGAAUGAUCAGGGUCUUGUUCGAGGAGAUCUACUGUGAGGAUCACGUGUUCAUAAUCUGCUUUUAUUAUUUAGGUUCUGUUUGGCUCUACAGACUUCAGCUGUCUGGUACGGGACAAGAAUUGCCUUGAACGUGCUCGGGAAUUAUUAUUUGGUCGUCAUAUUUGCGUAUAUAUAAAUAUUUGACAUAUACAAUGGAUAUAAUAUUCCCAUAUCAUUAUUUAUGUUAUGGAUGUAAGAGUUUUUUUUCCCCUUUAUAUGUAGCAGUGUAUAUUGUUGUGAAAGUUUGUUCCCCGCCAUUUUUUCUAUUAUUUCUUGUAUGAUAUUUAUCGUCCAUUGAUGUCUGAAAAUUUUAUCUGGGUUUUGAUAAGUUUGUCGUUCGUGUUCUUUGAUUUAUUUUUCUGCUCUUGCUGGUUAGAAUUUGCAAACUUCUGUUCAAUUUAUAUAUUAUAUCGCAGGAAAACCUUGUAUCUUUUCCUUUGUUUUUAAUUAUCUUAGAUUGUUUUUAAUCUUUUUCCUUUUGGGUUUCUUGAGCAGGAACAAUGUCUUUUACACAAACUUACAGAGCGCAAGGAGGCACUUUUCAUGAUAAUUAUAGACCCUCUUUCAUUAGAAACAAAAACAGCAACAGUGCUAACAUUAAUGAUAACCGUAUAAGGAGUUAUAAUCCCCAUGACUUCUCAAGAAAUUUUAGGGAGCGCUCUAAGAAUUAUAAUUAUGUUAAUCAUGAUGCCGCACCCUCCUUGAAAAGGAGAAAAUUUUCAGCUUCUGCUUGGGAAGACACUGGGAGGCGCUAUCAGCAACAAACCACAUAUGACAAUGCCCCUUCAACCUGCAACAGCUUGGUCCCUGCUCCUACAAGACCUAAUGCUAAUGCCUACACAUCUACCAGCUGUAAACGUGAUCGCUCAAAAUUGGAGGAUGAUGAUAUGGUCUUUAUGUCUAGGGAUGAGAUUGAAAGAUGCUCCCCUUCAAGGAAAGAUGGUAUUGAUGCACUUCGUGAAAUGCAUUUGCGGUAUUCAUAUUGUGCUUUUCUUCAGAAUCUUGGACUGCGGCUUGAGUUGUAAGUUCUUUAUGAUGCGUAUGUUUAUUUAUGCUGAUAACUUUCUGAUUAGAUUGUUUGCAUAAUUACUAAAUGGUUCUAAAAACUAUUAGUUGAAGUUAUUUAGUUUAGUUAUUCAUAUAUUCUAAUUUUGGAACUACUUAUCAAAAAAAAAAAAAUUCUAAUUUAACUGUGUUGUGUAUCUUUCAGGCCUCAAACUACUAUUGGAACUGCCAUGGUUUUAUGCCACCGCUUUUUUGUUCGACGUUCGCAUGCUUGCCAUGAUAGAUUUGUAAGUUUCCAGCUUCUUAUGUUUUAAAUUUGAUGGGAUGUGUAUGGUUUAUUGAAUGAUACUCAACAAGAACUCACAAUGACCAUGCUCUUACUUAUUUGUUUGCAAUCCUUGUUCAAUUUACUCAUUGGAUAUUUUUUUUUUCACAUGGAACAAUAAAAUUUGGCAUGGAACUACUUUUUGUUUCUGCUUUAGUUUUGUGGUCUGAUCCCUGUGCCUUAUUGUUUAUGUAUUAUGUAAACCAUAACCUAAGAAAACAAUCAUUUUCUCCCUCCACAGAUAUAAUGCUUAAAAUUAAAUAUGGAAAAACUAGUCACCUUUUCUUUCACCAUUCUUGAUUUUUUUUUUUCAAUUUGGUUUCUAGUCAUUGUCAUUGGCAAAACAACUACCUUCUGUGCCUUGAUGUGACUUUAUGAAUGCAGUGUGUUAAUCUAAUUUACAGUCCGUAAUUCAGAGGAAUAGCGUUAUUACUGAUCUGGCUUUGUUUGCAGUUGAUUGCUACUGCUUCCCUUUUUCUUGCUGCAAAGUCCGAGGAAACACAGCGCCCUUUGAACAAUGUAGUGAGAGCAUCUUGUGAAAUUCUCCAUAAGCUGGACCUUACUUUCUUGUCUUAUCUGCUCCCUGUUGUAAGUAUCUUUGGAACCAUUUUCUUUCACCUGUAGUCUUAUGCAUAUACAUAUACAUAGAUAUAAAACUAAAUAGCUUUGUACUUAUCAAAAAAAAAAAAACUAAAUAGCUUUGUAUGGACUGAAAGAAUUUCUAUUAUAUCAUCUUUUUUGUCUUAACUUUGUUAUGUCUUUUUCUUUACUUCUAGUAUUUUUUUCUCUUCCUUUGGAUGUUGAUAUUUGAUGGUAUAUUUCCCAUGUAUAUUGGUGCAUCUCUUUUGGCAUUUUUUUUAAUGCAUAUACUUGGCUUUCAAAAAAGGAUGUUAUAUGUUGUAAUCAAUUUAAACAGUAAGCUCCUGCAUCGCAUGCAAUUUUAGACUUUAAGUUUUAUAGAGAUUCAAGUGUUUGCAUUUUAUUGCUUUUAUGAAUAUGCAUAAUCCAUGUCCAUGUCUUUUGUCCAGCAUGGAUAUGCAUCCGAAUCCAGAUUGUUGGCUUAAAAGUUGGGACUAAAGCUCUUAGUUUGUGUUCAUAGUGUGCUUUCAUGACAUGAUUUGGAUGUUGAACAGGACUGGUUUGAGCAGUAUCGGGAACGGGUGAUUGAGGCUGAGCAGAUGAUACUGACUACUCUAGAUUUUGAGCUCACUGUGGAGCAUCCAUAUGUUCCUCUUACAUCUGUUCUUAACAAAUUAGGUCUUUCACAAACUGUUUUGGUGAAUUUGGCAUUACACUUGGUCAGUGAAGGGUAAGUAUGCUGCUAUCCUUAUUCUCAAUGUGUUCUUUUAGUGGAUUCUGAGAUUGCAGAUGCAUUGUUUUCUGUAUCAGUGAUUUCAAUAGGGUUAGUGGCAAAAUUAGUUAGCAGAAUCUAGCACAUACUUCCCCUGAUUGUGUACAACAUGAAUCCUUUCCACAUAUCUUACACAGUUAUAGUGGCCAUGUUCUGUUCAGGUACUUUUCUAAUGCGGGCUACUUGUAUUUAGUUCCUAUUUCCAAAGAAUGUGGUUAAAACUAGGAAGAUAGUGUAGGAAUUAGGUAGCAUUCUUGUGUUUAUGAUGAUCAAUCUUUUUUUAUAGAUUUGGACUGGUUGGUGUUGGAAUCUCAAUCAAAUUGCAAAUUUAUUGAGAUUUAAAGGCAGUUAUUAAUGUGGAGGAGGAUAAAUCGGUUAUCUUCUUUGUCCUUGGUUCAAAACUGUGUAUUACUUGUGUCAGUGUUUUGUUCUUUAGAGCUCUGCAUAGUCAUUCUGGAAUGGGAUAUUGAUUAUUUUGGCAUGGCAUAUAAUUGCAGGAUCUACACAAGAUUAGCGUGCUCGCAUCUAUGAUAUUCUUAGCUGGCGGAUUGAUAUGCUGUUCAUGGAAAGUUUUGUUUAUCUGAAGUUGAACUGCUGAUGUGUAGUGGAUGCCUUUAUCAUGAAUUUACUCUGAACCUGGUCACUGGCUAUUGAAGAUAGCCACAAACCCUCAGGACAGUUUUACCAUCCUAAUAUACACCCUUCCUCUUAACAAACUUAUAGUUUGUGAAACCAAUGGCCACUUGUCUACUUAAUGUCCAUUCCUGCAAGUCUGGGAGUCGCCUUGAAUGGGCUUAAAAAAAAAAAAAAAGAAAAGAAAAAUUGGUUUGGGUGAGUUUGGUUUUGAGAAUAUAAAAUGUUUUCCAAUUUUAAAAAAUGGUAGAAAUUUGGUGACAAAUGUUGAAAACUGUUUCAAAAUUUUCGAAAAAAACAGCCUGUUUUCUGGAAGUCUUCCACAUUUUCUUCUUUCUUUGUCUCUCAUUUGUCCCAUUGUUUGUUUAAGAACAGAAACAACUCAAGUUGACUGAUUCCCAAAAGUUUCAAUAGUUUCCAUUCUCAGAAAAGGAAUCACUUUUGAAAACGUUUUUCAAUUAGAUGGGUGCAUAUUUCUAUCCUCGUUCUUUAUGUGAUUUUUAUUGCUGACCCACUUGGACAAGGAAUAUGGUCGGAUAUCUAGGGAGAUUUUCUAGUUUAGCUAAGGCUUGUUUCUGAAAUACCCAAAAAUUUUGAAUUGUUAUUUUGCUUCAAAUCCUACCUUGAUUUUGUAACUUUGCAUAUCCCAAAUAUUUGGAAUUUUCUGUUGGGUUUUAAUUAGGACUAACUGUGUCCAUGAAUUAGCAUUAAAAAUUUAAAUCCUUGGUCCAGGAGUUGCUGUUAGACAUAGGAGUGUCUGCAAUUCAGAAACUGCCAGAGUUGAGCACUAUUAUCUUUGCUAAUUUUGGUUUUGUUGCCUUGUCUGGAAAUGAAACUAGUGGCCCUAAAAAGUUGAUGUGCUGGUGGACAUUAGGGAUAGCCUUUCUUUUUUUGAUAAGUAAGCAAAGAGAAUAUAUUAUUUAUAAUUAAUAGAUGCACAGUGGACAACUUAGAUAGCUUCUCUAGAACUAUUUUUGAGUUGGCUGCAAGAAACCUUUUCUGUUGCUUACUUUUUAUUGAGGAGAAAUCUACUACUAUAACAUCAUUACUGAAAAUUCUAGAUCUACCUAUCCUACAAGAUGUGUUUUCUUUUGUGCUUAAUUUAAUUGGGUAUUUUUUAUUAGGGAUGUGAGCCCUAACCAAUUAUAUGAAGACUGGUGGGAAAUUAUGGGUAGCAGUUGCCAUUUAGAUUGAGUGGCCUGUAGACCAUUUAAGUGAUGUAUAGUGAUGAUCUUUAUCUUUAUCCACAUUACUAGGUUGCACUUCUUUAGUUCUUUUUCUCUUUUAAAUAUAUUCCUUUAUACCAAUUUUUCACUGGUAUUUCUUCUUUCAGUUUCCUCAUAUUGCUUUUCCUCCUCCCCACGCUAAACAAUCUCGACAAUAUAAGUUUUUGUGGAUAAGCCAUAAGAUUUAUUCUGUCAUUUUUCAACUUUAUUGGUUCUUUCCAGCCUUCUGUUGGUAUCAUAGAAUGGGUAAGAAAGAGUAAGUAAAGGAUGUGUCUCUAUGUUAUAUUUUUGCUGUCGGCUUUGCUUGGCCUUUAUGCUCUGGCAGCUGGAUUACCUUUUUGGUACCUAAUCCCUGGAUGUUUCCUAAGCAGUUAUUGCGACCAUACAUGGCAAUACCUGCAAACCUUAUUUUACAAGUCUACUGAUUAUUACUGCUUUCUCCUUAUUCUGAUUAGUAUUUCAGUAUUUAUGUUGAAAGAAUAAAAAAGUGCCGGACCUUUUUUACUGGGAAUUUGUUGCUAUACCUAUCCCUACCCUUUUUUAUAAGUAAAUUUUAAACUAUUUUUUUCCUUUUUCUUUUCUAUAAUUUAUUUGUGUAUAUGUUUAUUUUCAUGGAUAAACAUUAUGUGCUUAUUACUAUAAAUUUUUUAAAUGUCUAAGCUUCACUUUUGGUACUACCUGGGCUCCUAUUCUGUGUGUUCUUUCCCUUCCCCUCUUAACUAAGAUAAUACUUUGGAAAAUGUACACUUGUUCAAUUCAUUUGGAACUAAAUGAAAAUGAACAUUAUAUUUGAUAUAAUCUCUCGUACGAUAUGUACUUGUAUUUUGUAAAUUGUACUUAACGGCUCAUAAAUCAUGAUACUAUUGCAUCUAUAGCCAUGUUGCAAAAUGUGCUAUAAGUUUGUUAACCUUAGGCAAUCAACAUUUACUUAUAGAGCUUAAAACACAAAGUGGACUAUGAAGGAUUGAAGUCCAAUAGGCUAACACAUAAUAUGGCAUUAUGUAUUGCAAAAUUUGAAUAGCCAGGAGCACGUUAUGCCAAAAAACCCAAAAGAACAGUAAGCACUAAAUUCGUACUGUACUUACAAGUAUAUCAUUUGUUUUAUUUGUUGUAGCCAGUGCAUCUCUCAAACUUACCUUGACAAUCUUCAUCUUUAUUCUUUUGGUUUUCAAUGUCAGUUAUGUUCUUACCAUUAUUAUCUGCUCCUACCACCAGUGCCUCGUGGUCAUGAGGGCCUUUUUGUUUUUGUUUGUUUGUUUUAAGGAAAAGAAAAGAAAAGAAAAACAAAAAAAAAGCAACUACUGAACUUCUAAAGCCUGUAUGUAUUGAGAAGUUUUCUUCUUCCACUUUUUUUUUUCUUCUCAUUUUGUUCCUUUGUUUUUUUCUUUUCUCUCUCUUUGUUUUUUUCUUUUUUUGUCAUUUUUUGGUUAACAGGUUAAAUGUCAUUUUCUUUGUUCAUACUAGCAUGCUGAAUAUGGAAGUCAUAUUUGCCCUCCACAUAUUCGCAUCCCUCAAAACAAUCUUAAGUUAUAUAUCAUUAUAUUAUAUUCAGCAUAGUGUAGCUUCACAUUUUUAUUUCACAUGUGUCAUGCAUGUGUUUACCAAGUCUGACCUCCAGCUAUGGUUUUUGGGUACGGGACUGUCUGUCUUUGGGAUGUUGAGAUUUGAGUCCUGAAGGGUUGCAACAUAUUAAGCACCUCAUCAUAUGCGGCAUCAUCAGCAUCAUUUUAUUUAACCUGAAGCUCUUAUUAUUUCUGAGUGGUAUCCUUUUGGAUUUUCAAAGAAAAUCCCUAUUAAUCCUCCUCGCUUGGAAGGAUGCUUGUAUGAAAAGCUAGGGUUGGUUUGAGUGGAUUCCUUCCAUGCUUCUCAAGCAAAUAUUCAGAAAACCACCUACAUUGACACUGAGAACUUUCUGAUGCAUGUUACCAAUGCAAUCUUUUAGUAUCCUAAAAGAGUAACUUACAGGAGUAUAAUGGUGCUUACAACUUAGAGCAUUGAUUUUAUGCCUGCUUAUGGCUUCUGGUGGUCUUUGGUGGCAUGCUAUUCUAUAGUGGGGAUUACGUACAUGAAUGUCUUUUAGCUUGAAAGCAUGCAUAUCAGCAAAGUCUCUGCAGAUUGAACUGUUGGGUGGACGAUACUGGCAUUUGCCUUUCAAGAAGUGUUUGCUUGCAAUGAAUUCCUCUUUCCUAGUUGCUUUAUCUUUUGAAUUGCAUGUGUUUCUGGAGUUGGGAAUACCCUGCAGCAGAACUGGGCCUGGGAGUUGAUGUGUUCUCUAGAUGGGUAUAAGAUGUUUGCUAGUAUUUUGGUACUGUUAUCAGCAAUAUCUGCAGACGAAUCUUGGAAAAUAUUCCACCUGGGUUGCUGCAUUUUUAGUUGGUAAGAAGAAAAAAAUGCUUUGCUUGCUUUCUUUACUUGAAACCAAUGUUUGAUAUGUUGUCUUAGCUUUUUGGUUUUAUGCUCUAUACCUAUGUUUAGUAUUUGAAAGCUGAUGUGAUUUGUGUUGGCAUUAUGCUAAGUUCUACAAGACAUUGCCUGUUCAUUUUAGUGUUGCCCGAGAUGGUUGGUUUGUUAACUAUCCAUGGAUUUCUCCAACUCUGAAUAAUAGGUUUAUUUAUUUUCAUAUGGCCUUCUAAAGUCAAACCAAUGUUUUGCAGGCUGCGAAGCUCUCUGUGGCUUCAGUUCAAACCACAUCAUAUUGCUGCGGGGGCAGCCUACCUUGCUGCCAAGAUCCUAAAUUUGGAUGUUGCUUCUUACCAGUAUAUCUGGCAGGAGUUCCAAACAACGCCAGCUAUUCUUCAAGGUAGUUGGCACUAUUUUGAAUAUCAUGUGAAUGUUCAAGAUUUUACGUUAAUUUUAUAUUUGCCAAUAGUCUUGGUUCUUAGUAUUUUAUUAUGAACCUCAUUGCAUUGCUCCCACCUUUUUAACAGUCUGUUGAUCCUUUGAUGCAGAUGUUGCGCAGCAGUUGAUGGAGCUAUUUUAGUUUCUACGCAGAUUCAGUUCACCAGUUGAUUGAGCUCUUUUAAAAGAUUACACAGUAGACUAGGCUUCAGGAAUGAAUGUUUCAUGUUAGAUAUGGGUAUUAUAUUCAUUGUUUUUUAAUGCCGUGUUUGUAACCAAUGAUUGGAAAAUCAUCAGUGUUGUCCAGGUUAUAACAUGAGAGAAGCGCUAUUCAUGAGAGAGAGAGAGUAGUAGAUUAGAUAUCUUUGUUUCAGCACUUCCUCUAGAAGUACAGGUCCAAAGAGUGUAAUUCGAAUAGACAGGCAUGAACUUUCUGUUGAGUGGUCAUCUAAUGGAAUAACAAAACUCUUCUGUUUCUCAUGGCCGUCUGUUUUUUCUACUGCUCAUCCUUUCUUGUUCUAAAUAAGAUCACGGGUCUAAGGUGUCUAUUUGCUUUUGAGUAUGUGAUUCUGAGGAAGGUUAGAAGUGCUUUUAAAUGUUUUGAAGUCCUUUUUUUUUCAACAAAAAUCUGGAGUAGUACCUGCUUAUGUGCUUUUUUUAGAAGUUACUUUUCUAGUAUUACUAAUAAAAGCAAUACUGAAAUCUCUAUUGAAGCAUUACUAAUAGAUGUAAUAGUACUGGCUUCGGAGGUUGAAUCUCGUGGGUGGGUGGGUGGGUGGGUGGGUGGGGUGCGGUGUGGUGAGGAGAGAGGGAUUCAAUUGUUGUACAAUACUUUGAGCCGAAGCUUAUAGAGAAAAUGCUAGUUUNNNNNNNNNNNNNNNNNNNNNNNNNNNNNNNNNNNNNNNNNNNNNNNNNNNNNNNNNNNNNNNNNNNNNNNNNNNNNNNNNNNNNNNNNNNNNNNNNNNNGGGGGGGGGGGGGGGGGGGUUGGGGGGGUGAGUGGGGUUUGAAAAUCUUUAUGCAUGAUCUGUUUUUCAAUUACACAUUUCUUUUUUUAUUUUUGUUAGCUUUUAUGAGUUUUUUCAUUUGAAAAAUAAGGGUAUGUUUGGUAACUGAUUUUUGGAAUAGUUUUUUAGUUUUUAUAACAGAAAAACAAGAAAACCCAUUUGAUAAUCAUAAAUUGUUUUUUAUUCUCAAGAAUAGGAAAUAUGAUAUUUUUAUAUAUGCAUUUUUAAUUGUUUAAUAUUAUUUAUAAAUUUACCCUUAUUUAUUUGGUUACGUGUAUAAUAUUUUCAUCCAUCAAAACUAAUAUCGGCCUAUAAAAAUGGCACAAUGUUGAUAUUUAAGAAAAUUGUUUGAUUUUAAACCCCAAUUCUUUUUGGCACACCCUAAAAUGAAAGUGUAUAAUUUUACUGUUUUCGGCUCUAUUUCCUUUUAUAAGAAGUUUUGGAAAGGAAAAUGGACAGAAUCCGCCCAUGGUGCUUUUAUUGCUUUAAAAAAAUAUAUGAAAAUAUUGUUUCUUUAAAAGGGAUGCCAUUGGUUAUGACCAUUUUCUAUUCAUAGAAAAUACAAGUGUUGACAAUCAGCCUGACAAAUAUUGAAUAUGAGGUUAAUUUCAGAAAAUUGUUUAACCUAUAUAUUUAAAAUAUCCCAAAAAAUAAAUUUUAUAAAUAUAAUAAAUUUAUAUAAAUUCUAAUAGAUGAAAUUCAAAAUUAAUAAUAAUUAGAUGUAUUCACGUUCGAGUUUGAAUAAAAUUAAUCUUAAAAUUAAAAUUUUUCUUGGGUAGGUAUAAAAAGGGUAUCAUGGUAUCGUGUUGGGAUUGGUUUUUUUGUUUCUAGGUCAUCUCGAAAGGGAGAAAGAAAGAAGUAAACAAGCCUUCCUAUUGUGGGAUGGUCAAAGAACGUGGCGCUGUCAAAGAGCACUACAGCAUCCCAUCGGUAGCUCCAGAAUUCAAACAGAGUUUUUGUCAUAAUAAUAAUGUAAUUAAUGGUUUUAAUGAUAAAGAUAACUACAUAUCCAAAUCACUGAAAACGCCAAAUAAGGAGACGCCUAUCUCAACCAUAUAUGCCAUGAUCUUCCUUGGCUAGCGUGCCAAUCCAUUUCCUUCUCUCUCUAAAUUUCCCGAGACACAAACAGAGGCGUGUGCGCCUUGCUUCACUUCACUACCAACCAAGAGAUCGUCUUUCCCGGAUAAUUCCAUGGAGUCUGCACCACAACGUCGCCUGACGGCUAUACAGACACAACUCAUCGCCACCGCCGGCGACGACCGCUCGCAUUCACAGCUCCUUACCAAUCAAACCGCCGGCGAGUUCGUUUCCGGUAAUAUCCCGGUUUCUCCAUUUAGAUUUCUCUUUCUGUGUCUCGAGUUGUUGCUUCUAUAUGUGAAGGUCCGCUUUAUAUGCCAUGUUUGGUGAAUAGUACGUUAUGUUGUCUCCAGUGAUGCUAUUGGUUUGGUAUAAUGCUAGGGUUUUAGGGGUGGGUCAAUCCUGAUCUCAUUGGUUGGGUCGUGCGUAUGAAAAACUAGUACUGUAGAUAUUGGUAAUCAUUGGUUGGGCUAUGGCGACUAUUUUAGAGUUUUUGGGAACCGAUUGAACCAAGAUUGAUGUUAUUGGGGGGAGGGCAGGACGAAUGCGUGGCUGGAAGAGAAAAAGUUAGGGGCAAUAAUAGAUGGAGCACUUCACUUUUCCCUGAUAGGCUAAGGGGCAACUUUGCCUUUAUGGUGGGAUGUUCUUAUGUCUUAUAUUUUGUUCAGGGAGGUAAAAUGCGGGGUUUUCGUAGUGUACUCAUCUUUUGUAACUCGAUUAGGGCUUAUUUGACAUAUUUGACUAUUACAGGAUUGGACUCCAUCUUUACCUUUCUUUGGGUAAUCCUCCACCAUAGGAAAAGUAACUUCUUAGGAACGGUACACUCUAAAGCAGGAGAGUUUGUUUAUUGGUUCACUCUCUCUUGUGUACGGUAGAGAUGAUGACAACUGAGGGGGACAAAUGUAAAAUAUAUGACAAGAACAUGUUGUGUUAGAGGGAUUAAUAUAAUUCGUAAGGAGUCUAAUGUGAAAUUUGCAAUAUUAAGAGGUUUUGGUGGUUGAUUCUCCAUAGCUUUUAGUUAGGUAUUACAAGGACCUAUAGAAAUCUGUUACCACAUGAAUUUUAUCUCGAGGGUUAAGUCUUCAUUAUAGUGUAGUCUGUUACCAUUUAUUGUUUUCUUGUUAGUAGAUGGUCGAGUUGGAAGGCAGGGUUCUCAAUGAAAAAGAAAUGGAUACCUUUACUCUUAGACAUAUCUUAUCUUUUUUUUCAUUGUAAUGUUUUAGAUUGGAACAGACCAUUCCUUGUGCAAUGACAACAAUAAUGCCUUGGGCUGGCAGUCAUCAAUAGGGGGGCUUUGAGUCUCAAAAAUGGCCUCCUUGUGCAACACUGCUAGAGUUGGGAUCAUAUCCAACUCGCCUUUCCCAAUCACCACUUAAUGGCCCUUUAUGUUUUAGAUUAGAUGUUAUAUGUUCAUAAUGAUGGUAAACAACCAUUUCCUCAAUAUGUUUGGGCAUAACUUAGGGUACUUCUUCUGGAUCUGUGGUUCAUGAAGUUAAGUGGAGAUCUACCAGUGAGAAAUGAUGUGUUGGGGAAGUUGCAGAUACUGGUAGAUCCUUUAAUAUGAUCAUACAAAUGGACUUUAGUGAACGUUUCAGGGAAUUGGGUCUUACAGGGAUACAUGAGGGUGAAUAAGUCUUGUACUGGUCACUGUUACAGGGGAGUGGCAGUUUUUCUUCAUAUUCCUCAGCACAUUGCAUGGGAAUGGGAAAGAGUGAAAUCGGGAACUUAGGAUAAAUUGUCUGCAUUUGAUUAACUUCUUUUUCUGACAUCCUUCAUUCUUUAUUUUUAAUUUUUAAUAACUUUAGAUUGACUUCUUUAUCUGGGUCCAUUUGGGAGUUAUUCUUCAAGGGUUAGAAGCGCUCCCUAAUGUUUGGAAGCAUUUUCUUUACAAAAAUUAUGUGUUUGGCAAAAAUUUAAUUCAAUUUUUUUUUAUGUGUAAAAUGAGAGUAUUGUAUAAAAAGAGUGUGAAAAUGAGUGCAGCGAAGUACAUUAGACAUAUAUAAUGAUCAUCAAAAAGCGUAAACAAAAAGUAAAAGGGACAAUAAAAACUACUUCCUCACUUAAUAAAAAUCCAACCAAUCAACAAAGUCAAUUAAGAACAUUGGGCCUUCAUCUAUAGACAACUUGGUCCAAGAUAGCAAAUUACAAAAAAAAAAAAAAAAAGCUUUUUAGCCUUUGGUAAGAAAGUUCUCUGUUUUUAAACAAUCUUCUAUUCGUCUCCUUUUAAUUUUUCUAAAAAAGGCACAAAUGAGUUGCUUCCCACACUUUUUUUAGUUUCUUCACAACAAAGGAACCAUACCAUCUUAAGAAGGCCUUUCUAAUGAAGGAAGAUAACACCUAAGACACGUCAAAAAGAGAAAAUAAUAGCUGCCGCAAAACCUUCGUCUUGCCACAAUGAAGAAGGAUGUGAUCAAUUGAUUCCUCAUAGAUAUCGCAAAGGAAACAUUUAUUAGCCAAUGUCCAACCUCUUCUUUGAAGUUCAUCCAAGGUCAAAAUUUUUUCCACAAAGACAAAGAAAAUAAGGAAGCUAGAUAAAGUGCUCUGGAUUAGAGUGAGUCUUAUCUUUUGCAAAUAUAUUGCCUUUUCCACAUUGCCAAUCUUUUACAAACCUCAAUUCCUCCUUAUUCCAAAUUGCAAGUAUUAUAAGGGCACCUAAGGAAAGAAGAGGUUGGACAUUGACUAAUAGAGGUUGGACAUAGGCCGCGAGUAUUAGCUAAUGACCUUCUUCCAUUUGCAUUAGCCGUUUUGAGAAAGAAAUUAGUAUUUCUAUCGCCUUCCUUUAACCAUGCCUCCCUUGAUUUCUACCUCUAAGAAGUUUCUUGCAUAAGAGCCCAUUUACGAUACUCCGCCCUUGCUUCCAACCUCGCAUCCACCUCUUCUUGAGAUAAAGCACUUGUUCUCCCCUUAGAAUCCUAGAAACCCACUUAGGGAAGAACCAAUUCCUUUCUAACUAUAACAUUACCAAAAUCCUCUUUGUUGCAACUUUUCAAAUUAGACUUUAAAGCGUUCAAUUUCAUUGCCAAGAUGAAACUAUAAGGUCCCCCUUAAAGCUGAACCCCAACCACCAUCUCUUUAGAAUAUCUUUGAAAGCCCUUUUCCUUAAGCCACAUAUUUUGAAUCUAAAUGGAGCAAAACUUCUCCUCAACUCUAUCUCCAUCUAACAAAAUGGGGCGAAUGAUCCAAUACAGGUUUGGGUAAGAUNNNNNNNNNNNNNNNNNNNNNNNNNNNNNNNNNNNNNNNNNNNNNNNNNNNNNNNNNNNNNNNNNNNNNNNNNNNNNNNNNNNNNNNNNNNNNNNNNNNNCCCCCACCCCCCUUUUUUUAGAAUUUUUUUGAAACCCCUUUUUCUUUACCCCAAUUUUUGGAAUUUAAAAGGGACAAAAUUUUCUCUUAAUUUUUUUCCCCUUUAAAAAAAAGGGGGGAAAGGUCCCAACCCGGUUUGGGUAAAAAUAUUUCCCCCCCCCCCAUAAAAAGACCUUCCCCCCUUUUUAACCCCAAAAAGGGGUUUUAUUUUUUUUGGGGUUUAUUUUUUAAACCACACAACCCCCCCCCCCCCCCCCCGGCAACACACACCCCCCAAAUAAAAGGGCCUUGAAGACAACCUACUGACUUUAUUGCUCUUCCUUGGAAAUUUGACAAUCUUAAAAUCUUUUGCAAUGCACCAAUGGUCAUUCUACAAUUCCCUAAUCAACCCAAACUUAGCCCCGAAGGCCGCUUUAUCCUUCCUUAGAGAUGGACCAUACAUCCUUGUGAAAAUCCAAAAAACAGUCAUCACAAUUUUUAAAAUGACCCGAUAUCGAGCACUCACCAUCUUCCAUGCAAACCAUUUGUAACACCCUAUUGUCCCAAAAACCAAGACCCUGCUUGUAGCACCCAUUGAGUUCACUACACCCUAAUCCAAGAAUCUUCCCAUUCCUGAGCUUUGCACCAAGCUAGUUGACGUAUUUUGGAUUGUUUCCUAUAAACAGACCAAGUAUGCUCUCUGCAAUUUAGUCAAAGACUUUAUAAUCAUCCUUUUAGCAUUGUCAUUAGCCUAUUUCACAUUCCAAUAUAAAAUUUUUAAUUUCAUUUGUGACUUGAUGAGAUAACCCAAUCUUCUCUACUCAAUCAUUCCUUUGUUCCUGCUCCAUUCUAGUUCAUUAAACACUCUAGCUUCUUAAGCUCUCUUUCAAAUCUUGAAAAUACAAAUUUAUUUCUUCUUCUAUGAUACACUCAAUACCCUUAUAAAUGUAUUGUAUGUCCCCGAUAUGAAUAAAAAUUUGGUUAGUGGGGAUUUGCUUGGCAAACCGGGUAUCAAAGUGGCGUUUGAAUCCGGUAAGCUAAUUUUAUCCAAAUCGGGGAACUUUGUGGGAAAGGGGUAUUCUUGUGAUGGGAUGAUCAAACUUUGUACCAAUGACAAUAUCAAUAAAAUGACGUCUACUUCCGCUUAUAUGUGUGAUUCAAAUUCUUUAUUUUUGUGGCAUAAUAGGCUUGCACAUGUUGGUUUAAGCACUAUUAAAAGGAUUGUGAAAUGUGGUUUGAUUGCUUGUGAUACCAAGAAAUUUGAAAAGUGUGAAAUAUGUGUUAAAUCAAAGAUGAUUAAAAAGCCUUUUCAUAGUGUUGAGAGAUCAUCUAAUUUGUUUGAUUUAAUACAUAGUGAUCUUUGUGAACUUAAUGGCAUGUUAACAAGAGGUAGAGUUCUUUGAGAAUUUGUUGAGUGAUAGCAAUUCUCAAGUACCUACUAGUGUUGGAGAGUCUCUAGAGGAGACACCUUCAAAGGUUGUUGAGCAACCCAUUGUGCCUUGGAAAAGCCAAAGAGCUAGAAAAGAGAAAGUGUUGGGAUCGGAUGAGAUUGACUCUCAAAGCAAACCUAAUCCAAGAAGAAAAACCUUUGCUUCUCUUCAAGAUUUUUCCUAUCAGCUUCCUUCAAUCUCCUCUAUUGAGAUUUCAAAGGACUUGGAUUCCAUUGCAAACCAACUCCUACCUCCUCCCAUCAAAUUUUAAAAUUACUUCUAAAAAUCUAGAGAAUCACUUGAAAUAAUAUUUGAAUUAGCAUAAUGUAAGUGCUUCUUCCAAAAUCACUUUUUUUGUUAUGUAUUCCACUACCAGAAACACUUUGAAAACACUUUUUGGUUUAUAUCCAAACCUUAACUAAUUUUCUAUAGAAGUGUUUUUGAUAGAAAUGUUACCUGUAGAAGUGUUGUCUACCAACAUAAGUGUUAAGGCUAAAAGCGCUUUUAUGAGAAUCAGUGCCAAAAAAGCCUUGAUGUUAUUUAACAGUUCACUUUUCAUAGGCUUAUGGUUAUGUAAGUCAAGCAGUUUAGCAGUUGGAGUGCUUUAUGGGAAAUGAUAUAAACAGCAUGGAGUGUAUAUUUUGUUCAUUGUUUCCUUAGUCAGUGGUCUAGCCUGCUUUAGAUUCAUGAAGGGGCUUAAUUAUGAACGUUAUGAAGUGAUUUUGUUGUUAAUUACUUUUCAAUUUUUGCUGCUAUACCUGAGAAGUUAUCAGAGAUUUUUUCUGUUUCUGGGUGAGAAUCUUUUUUACAGUAAUGCACUGUUUGCCUCUAUUGAUUAAUCAAUCCAUUUUAGUCCUGGCAGCUUUUUAGCUUUCCACUUUUUGUAUGCCAUUUGUUUCUCUUCAUGUUUAUGUUAUAUGUUCAUGCAUUAAUUUGCUGAAUUUGUGGCAUUAAUUCUGAGCAGAGCAGGGCUAUAGUGUGGUGCUUCCAGAGAAAUUGGAGACAGGAAAGUGGAAUGUCUACAGGUAGGAAUUUUCCUCUUUUGUUUUGUUUUGUGUUUUUUUCCCCCACUUGGUCAUUCAUUCUCAACUUGUUAAGAUUUCAUUUUCCUUGGCAGAUCUGCACAGUCUCCUUUGAGGCUUGUGAGUAGAUUCCCUGAUCAUCCUGAAAUUGGUACAUUGCAUGAUAAUUUUGUGUGAGUAUCGCUCUGUUUAUUUGGCUAAAUUACAACUGAGUUUUGUUACAAUUGUCAAUGCUAGUUUUUAUAUUUGACUGCCCAUGUAUUUUUUGCAUUUAGAAAAUUAUCUAAAUUAUUUCUUCCAACAUUUUGAGGAUAGGCACUCAGUUGAGACCUUCCGUGAUUACAAGUAUUUGGGUACACGAAUUCGAGUUGAUGGAACAGUUGGAGAGUAAGUUGCUCAUCUGAAUAACUUUGCUAUUUCAUCAUUGAAGUUCCCUUAUUCAUUUGCAUUCAUUGCCUACACUUUCAAGGUACAAAUGGAUGACAUAUGGAGAAGCAGGUACUGCUCGAUCAGCAAUUGGUUCUGGUUUAAUAUACUAUGGAAUACCGAAAGUGAGUUGUCCAAAUUCUAAAUUAAGUUUGAACAUUGUCAUGCACUCUUAAUUUUGUUCUUGGAUUGGACUUAUGUUUUUCUAAAAUGUUUUGUGAAAACAUCUACUCAAGAUUUUCAAAUCCAUUCUUUCUUAACAUUUGGUUAUCCAUUGAUUUUCCUUUUUUUUUUUUUAAAUUUUCUUUAAUGCUGUAACAGGGAUCUUGUGUUGGCCUAUAUUUUAUCAACAGACCUGAGUGGCUCAUUGUUGAUCAUGCCUGCUCUGCAUUUUCAUAUGUAUCAGUUCCUUUAUAUGACACUCUUGGUUCGUAAUUGGUUAUUGUAUAAAACUUUAUCGGACUUUUGCCUAGCUUGGCCAAACCACUGCUACAAAUCUACUAAAGCUUAACAAAGCCUUGAUAAUUGUUGCUCUGCAGGUCCAGAUGCUGUCAAGUAUAUUGUAAAUCACGCUGUCUUACAAGCUAUAUUUUGUGUGCCACAAACGUUAAACUCUGUGAGCUCAUUUUUCUUUUUUUUAUGGAUGUAUUUUAACAUUAAGAAAUGCAUAUUGAGCUCAGGGUCAAGUAUCAUUCAUGUCAUUAAGAAUUUGUCUUUCUAUUCUUAAUUCUGUUAGUCUAGGAAGUUGGUUAGAUCCUCGUCAAUUUCUACCUUGCUUACUGUAGCCACGUUGAAUGUGGAGUUGAUGAAUGAAUGAAAUAUGGAGCUAAUACUUAGAUCAUAUCAAGAACUAAAAAUCAUUCUUCUUAUUCUGCUUCACUAAUUGAUUAAUAUCAUAUGUUACUUCUUUGUUUCUUCUCAUGAGAAUCUGGUUUAUAAUUCUUAAUGUGCUUUGCUAUUUAUUUUUGUCUUCUUUCUUGGAAUUUGCAGUUGCUGAGCUUCUUGUCUGAGAUCCCAUCCGUACGUUUAAUAGUGGUAUAAAAGGCUAUAUCUGAUCUUUCUUAAUUGAAUGUCUGGAUAAGCUAACAUUGGCUUUAGUGCUAAUGUAUGGUUUUCAUGAAAGUUCGUUAUCUGCUUUCCUUUUUACACAGGUAGUUGGAGGAAUAGACGAUCAAAUGCCAUCACUUCCAUCAACAACUGGAGUUGAGGUUGUAUCAUAUUCAAAACUACUCAAUCAGGUAAUUGCAUGCUCCUUCUCUGUUCCUCUCCUGCCUCUUUGAUUGUUUGUUUGUUUUUCUCCUGUGGAGGGUUGGUCCUCUCCAUAUUGAACUCCUAUCCCUUGCCACCUACACAGGCCUCAGGAAUAUAAUGACAUGAUCUUUCCUUAAGACAAAUCCUUAAUGUUUUUCUGCAUCACUACAAUGAGAAUUGAUAUAGUAAAAAUCCUUCAUUCGAAAGGAGGAUUAUGGGGAAUGGGAUUAGGUUUUAUGUUGUGAUUUGGUAAUUUUGUUGUUAUUGUGUUAUCCUUUGCUGUUUAAGGGAGCAUUUGGAUUAGGUUUAUGCUGUGAUUUGGUAAUUUGUUGUUGUUUUAUUGUCCUUUGUCAUUUAAGAAGGCAUAAAGUGUAAUAUUUCCAUUUUCACCUGCAUCUUUCCAUCACAGAUGAUUUUGUAAUUUCAUGUGAUUAUCCUUUGUUUAUUUGCUGGUAGUGAUGUAUGAAUAUAUGUAUGUGGCAUUAGUUUCUUGGAGCAUGGUGACAUCUCUAUGUUAUCGAAAGCUGCUUGAUGUUAUGCAUGAACUGAUGCCUUUAUUUUUAUUUUAUUUUAACCCUCAGUUCUUAAGCGUUGCAGCUUGUUUAACCCUAGUUGUUCUCUCUGUCUGGUAUAUUGAAUUCCAUUGCAUACAUGCACCCUCAUGACCCAAGUUCCUGUUAAUUGAUUUUGGAGAGUUGUGCAUACCUUGUGUCAAAAUGUCAUGUCAUGUUCAUACCACAAAUAAUAGCACUGGUUUUUUGGUUGAUUAUGAUCUUCAUGUCUCAUACUUCUAUUGAACAUAAGCUGCUCUUAGCCCAUCUAGGUAUCACAUUCUUUUACACUUCUUAUCAAUGUUCUGUUUCAAGAUUAUAUAAUGAUAUUGCAAAUCCUUUUUUUUUUUUUUUAAUUAUAAAUUAAAUUAAAUUAUUUUCUCACAGUAAUCUAAUGGUUUCCUUAUUUUACAAUGGUUCCUUUUAGGGUCGCAGUCGUCCCCAACCUUUUUGCCCCCCAAAGCCUGAUGAUGUUGCAACCAUUUGCUAUACAAGUGGUACAACUGGGACACCUAAGGUAUACUUUAGUUCCUGUGAACUUCAGUUUUCUGAUCAUGAAGCUCAAGUAUUCCCCAAGAAUGACAUGACUGUCUAUGUAAUUAAAUAAAGUUAUUUAUUUAUUUAUAUUUUUUGGUGACUAUGGUAAGGGAGCUGUACUGUCCCAUGGAAACUUGAUUGCUAAUGUUGCUGGGGCCACUCUUUCCGUCAAAUUUUACCCCUCAGAUGUGUGAGUCCUAUUAAUAUGCAAUUGUUGUGCAUUAUGUUCUGUCUUUCUGUCUUAUCUGAAUUACCUGUUAUUCUUUCAGUUACAUAUCAUAUCUUCCUUUGGCACACAUCUAUGAACGGGCCAACCAGGUCAUGACAGCAUAUUUUGGAGUUGCAGUUGGAUUCUACCAGGGAGUAAGAUACUUAACAUUUCUUAUUUAAUUCAAGUCUAUGAAAUUUACUAAAUUUUUUACCAUUCCAAUUCAUGGUGCAAUCUAAGCAAUUUCCAUUCCAAUUCUUGGUGCAAUCUAUGCAUCUCUGACCUGGGAAGUGAAGUGUAGACAUGUUUAUCUUGAUUUGACUUUAUCUGGUAUCCCUUUUCCCAACAACUUAGUCUGUUGGGGUAAGCUGGAAUCUGACUUGGUGUCAUAUCAAACUUCUGAUUCACUGAGGUCUUGGGUCAGACCUCUCCAAGAACCUUUGUUUGUUCCCUCAUUUGUUUAUCUGUUUGCAUGCCUGCCUCUCCAUGUGUGGGUGUAGGGGUGGCUGGGUUGUAGUGCCGUAGUGUCACCAUCAGCCUGUGUACCAAAGGAAAAAAAUAAGAAAAAGGAAAAGGAAAAAAUGUAAACAUAGAGAAGGGAGCGGAUUUUUCUAAGGUACUAUGCAAAAUAUAAUUCAUUAUGAUCAUAAUUUUGUUUCCAAAAGUGAAAGGAAGGUAUUCCCGACUUGGUGGUGGUUCAUUUGUUUGUCGUUCCUUAAAAUGUAUAAAGUUCAUUACUUCUCAAUGGAACACAAUGCUGUGAGUUCUUCCCUUUUUCUAUUCAUAUUCUUGCUAAAGUUGUUGAAAUGUGAUCGAUGUGAUAUAUCUGAUGUAGGAUAACAUAAGCACCCUUUUUCACGUAGAAGAGAAAUUGACUGAGAAAGGAGUUAGAUGAGAGAAGAAGAAAUUAGAUGAGAAAUUAUGAGAGGAGAAUGGCUAUAAGAAAGGUCUAGAUUCAGAAGAUAAAGGGAUGAGAUCAAUAGGUUGACGAGGAGAAUGAUCAUAAAUGAUCUCAAAUAUUUACCAAAUUGUUAUAGGCAAACUCUAUUGAUGGCAACAUCGAAUCCCAAUUACCUUGUUUCUCUCUGACAAGACUCUUAAGCAAGUCUUCUAAGCUACAUUUAACAACCUCACUUUGACCAUUGGUUUGAGGAUGACAAGCUAGGAGAAUUUCAUAUGUGCCAAAAAUUCUUUGAAGUGUAUUCCAAAAAUAAUUAACAAAUUUGAUAUCUUUAUCUGAUGCUAAUAAUUUGGUUAAACAUGAGGCUUCAAUUGUUUUACUACAAGGGAUAACAUGUGUUAUCUUAAAAAACCUGGCUACCACAACAAAAAUAGAAUUAUGCCCUUGAUUUGAUUUUGGUAACCCCAAGAACAAAAUCCAUACUAAUGUUGCUUUAAGGGGUGCUAUACCAAGGUGUCUACAAUGUAUUGUGUCUCUUCUUUGUCUUAGCUUGCUGACAAGUCAACACUAUGACUCAAUUUUGAUCAUUCUCAACUUGGAUCUCAAAUCUUCAAAGCUGGUUCUAGAAAGCACCUUGGUAAGGAUGCAUGUUGUUUGGAGAGCUCUUGGAGUGUAAACCAAUGAAAUUUUCCCAUUCUCUAUCUUCUCCUUAGUAAAAUGAUGAUCUAUUUCCACAUGCUUUGUCUAAUCAUGAUGAAUGGGGUUCUUAGCAAUACUUAUGGUAGCUUGAUUGUACAAAACAUCUUUAUAGAAUCUUUUACUAGAAUUUUCAGCUUGUUUGGGAGUCUUUUUAACCACAUUCCUUCACAGAUUCCAUGUGUCAUAGCUCUAAAUUCUGCUUCUACGCUGCCCUGAGCUACAACAAACUGUUUUUUGCUUUGCCAUGUAACCAAAUUCCCCCAUAUAUAGUUGCAAUUUCUUAAAGUUGAUCUUCUAUCAGUUAUGGAUCCAAUCCAAUUUGCAUUUGAAAAAACCUUAAUGUUUCUCUUUUGUGUUCUUUUGAAAAAGAGUCCCUUUCUUGGAGUCAUUUUGAAAUAUCUUAGAAUAUGAUACACAACUUUCAUAUGUUGCUUUGUUAGAUUGUUCAUGAAUUAGCUAAUACAUUGACUGUAAAAACAAUGUCUGGUCUUGUGUGUGAGAGAUUGAUGAGUUUGUCCACAAAUCUUUGACAUCUUCCUUUAUUCAUCGGUCUGGUUUGGUUUGGUUAGGCUAUCUAUAGGGCGUAGUUGUUGGUUUUUGUGUCUUCGCUUCUUUCUUUUUGGGUGUUUUGGUUGCUUUGUAUACAUCAUGUAUGCUUUCUUCUCUCUUUAAUACAUUUUUCACUUACCAAUAAAAAAAAAAUCCCCCUUUAUUCACCAUAGCACUUUGAUAGUUUCUAGUUUAGUAGUGUAGUCCAUAAGUGUGUUUGCAUGUUUACAAUCAAACAUCCCAAUCUCCUUUGGUAGUUUGGCCCAUUCAAUUUGUGUCCAAUAAUGAAAAGAGGAGCACCAUCUAAUCCUCCAUGUUGCUUGGAAUAGGAGCUUCUUGAGUGGAGUCCUUGGUGGCCAUUCCGUAUUUGGUCAUGAACACAUUGAAUGGUUUAAAUUCUGCUCUGAUACCAUGAAGAAAUUUGAGGGAGAAAAUAAUGUUUUUUUUUUUCAAAUUGAUUAUAGUAUAAGUAUUUAUACACGAUGUUACCCUUGAAAAGAAAUCUAAUCCCUGGUUUUUAGGAGAGAAUAUCUCACAAUUGUAAAUUCGCAUGAAUAAUGAAUAUCUCACAACUGUAUCUCAUAACUGUAAAUUCACAUGAAUAUCUCACAGUUGUAUCACUCAGUUGUAACACAGUUGGAAUCUCACAGCUGUAACACAACCAUCAAUUCCUAAUUAAUCCGAAUUUCCACACUAUUUAACUUCCAAAUCAAGAAAUCUCAAAUAAAGAUGAGAAAACUACAUAGCUUAUACCAUCUAAACAAGUAGCCAUCACAAAUUAUAGAAUCAACGUGAUCUCAACGAUGACCAUUUUGAAUUUAUCGGAAAAGGACAUCAAAAUCAAGACAAUUAAGGGCUUGUUUGCAAAUGUUUUCGAAAACAAUUGUUUAGAACAGUUCUCUAAUGUUUACUUAAACAAAAGUUUGUGUUAGGAAAUUGAGGCUAAUCCAAACUAUGGUAAUCAUCCUAAGAGGGGGGGGGGGGGGGGGGGAAAAAGGGGGAAGGGCCCUUUUUUCCCAAUUUUAACCAUGCAAAAAAAAAAAAAAAUUUUAUGCCAAAAUUUAAAAAAACCAAUUUCCUAUAAUUUAAAAAAAUUUGGGAAAAAAAGGGGGAAAAAGGAAAAUUUUUAGGGGUUUAAAAUUUUUUUACCAAAUCCCCCCCCCCCCAACCCCCAAAAAAAGGGGGGGUUCCCCAUUUUUGAAACUUCAACCAACCUUCCAACCCCUUUAAAAUUGGGUAAAGCUUUUAAUUCCCCCCCUUGGAAUUUUGGGCCCAACCCCCCUUUUACCUUUUUAAAAAUUUCCCCCCCCUUGAAAAACCCCCGAAGGAGACCCCCCCCCUUGGAAAAAUUCCUCUCAAAGGUAUACAAAGAUUGAUCUCACAAAAAUCCUAGUAAUAGAACUUUAGGCUCAAAGAUACAAGAAAAACUAGGAUUGAAUGGUGCACUCAAGAUAUGCAAGUUAUGAAACAAUGGUGUACUCAAAAACACUGUUCUAAGGCUCAAAUAUAUUCAAGAAUGAUUUGGGAAGGUUAAGCUUAUGAAACAAUGAAGAUUGGAGCCUUUUUAUAGAAGAAAAAAGUCAAACUAGCAGUUGGGGGUUCGACCGGUCGAGCUGAGGGUCGACCGGUCGAGCUGAGGGUCGACCGGUUGACUAGCCGUUAGGAAAAGUGACCGUUGGUCCUCAACCGGUUGAGGUUCAACCUUGACCGGGAAGAGAAGGCCACUGGGAGAGAAAGAAACUUUUUGGCCUCCUUUAACCGGUCCUCGACCGGACGAGCACAAUCGGUCGACCGGUUGAGCCAUUUUUUUGGCUCAACACUCAAUCUUUUUCAACUUAAAACCUUUUAACACAAGUUUGAAAAUCAUUUAACACAAGGUUUUAGUUGAAAACAUGAAAUCAUCAAAUUCUUAAGAUAUUUAAAACAAUAUUACUCUUAGAUGAUUUUGGUGCAUAAAUAAAGAAUGAAAUGCAUGAAAGUCUUAGUGCACCAACAACCUUACAAAGAGAUCUUAAGAAGUUUUGGUCUUGAAAAACUCUUCUCUUUGAGGUGGUCUUCUUCUUCAUGAUUUCUCCUUGACUUGAUUUGUCUUUGGAUUGCCACUUUGGAAGUCGUCUUGCCUAAUCACACUUAAAAUAUGAUCAUUAGUUCUAAACCUUGUUUUGUUAUCAUCAAAAUCAAGAUUAACCAAACCUUGAUUUCACAAUCUCUNNNNNNNNNNNNNNNNNNNNNNNNNNNNNNNNNNNNNNNNNNNNNNNNNNNNNNNNNNNNNNNNNNNNNNNNNNNNNNNNNNNNNNNNNNNNNNNNNNNNAAAACCUUUUAACACAAGUUUGAAAAUCAUUUAACACAAGGUUUUAGUUGAAAACAUGAAAUCAUCAAAUUCUUAAGAUAUUUAAAACAAUAUUACUCUUAGAUGAUUUUGGUGCAUAAAUAAAGAAUGAAAUGCAUGAAAGUCUUAGUGCACCAACAACCUUACAAAGAGAUCUUAAGAAGUUUUGGUCUUGAAAAACUCUUCUCUUUGAGGUGGUCUUCUUCUUCAUGAUUUCUCCUUGACUUGAUUUGUCUUUGGAUUGCCACUUUGGAAGUCGUCUUGCCUAAUCACACUUAAAAUAUGAUCAUUAGUUCUAAACCUUGUUUUGUUAUCAUCAAAAUCAAGAUUAACCAAACCUUGAUUUCACAAUCUCUCCCUUUUUUAUGAUGACAAAACCAAGGUUGCUAAAAAGCUCCCCCUCAAUAUAUGCUCCUUUGAAUUUAGAAAAUAUUCAAGUUUAGAAACUUCAAGGAGUAUAUUAAGGAUGCUCAAAAUGAUAUAAUUAAACAUAAAUAACAUAAAGAGCAAUUUAGCAAUUUGGCAAGACAUUAUUAUUAAAUAUGAUGCAUACAAAUAUAACCAAAAAAACACAUAACAUCAAUAUGAAUAGGAUUGCUAAAACAAUAUUUGAAAUAUCUUCCCAAGUUAGCAACCUACCAUUACUUCUCCCCCUUUUUGUCAUCAACAAAAAGUUUCAAUAAAACAUAUAAGGGGAAUCACAUGUUUAUCAAAAGUUUAAAAAAUAAACAAUAAGCAUGAUAUGAUUUCUCAUGAAAAUGAAUCUCCCCCUUUUUCAUUUGAGAAUAGUUUCCAAAUAAAAGAUUGCUCAUCUUUAGAGCAUUCCCAAUUUAAAGCAUGAUUUGGAAAAAUAUAUAUGGGAGAACAUAUGCAUUUAAAAAGAUAUAUAAUAUGCAUUGAAUAACAUAUUUAGGGCAUACAAGCAUAUGAUCAUUUAAUUUUACAUAGGUAUAUAUAAAAAAUCUUCUUUUUAAAUCCAAAACCUUGGUUUAACAGAUAUGCCAAUUUUAUCAAAGUGAUACCAAAAGUUAUAUUAUCAAAAGAUAUACCAAGUGUUAGCAAAAUGAUACCAAUUGCAAAUUUAGCUUUAAAAGGGAUACCAUUACCAAUAUUAUCAAUGCAUUUCUUCCAAGGUAAGCAUAUCCUCCUUUUUGCAUGGAUCCCUACAAAACAAAUUUAGUAACUUUUGGUACCCAUAUCCUUUUGGGUCCUAGAGGGUUAGUCUUUCUUCCCUUUGGAAUCCAAAGUAAUUUAGAGUUUUGAAGAACAUGAGGAGAUUUUCUUAAGGGACAAAUAUUACUAAUGUGACCUCAUUUUUCACAAAAAUUGCAAAUAGUUGAAGGUGAAAAACUAGAGGCUUCCUUUUAAAAAAAAAUGAAUUUUUUUUUUUUGAAAAGCUUAUAGGCUAGCCUCCUUUUAUUAAAAAUUGCAUUUUUGAUUUGCCAAAAUCAUAUCAAAGGUCUUUUGGCCAUUUGAGAAUUUUUAACUCCUCAUUUUCCUUUUCAAAAGAGAUUUUUGCCUUUUCAAUAUUUUCAAAAUUUUCAUUAUGCUCAUUGAGCUCAUUUUGAAGACAAGAAUUCUUUUUCUUGAGAGAAAUAUUUUUGAAAACAAGUUUUUCAAUAUCAAAAUAUAAUUCUUGAAGUGCAUCUUGAAUUUCAAAAUGGUUGGAGUUGGAGUUUACCUCAUCACUUUCACUUUCACUUUCUUCCUCUUCAUCAUCAUUUGUUAUAGCCAUAAAGGCUAUACUUUUCUCAUUUUCUUCAACUCUUCGAUGAUUGUACAACUCUAUCUCAUAAGUCAUGAGUGACCCAAUGAGUUCUUCAAGUGAGAACUUGGUGAGAUCCUUUGCUUCUUGAAUAGCCGUCACUUUUGUUUCCCAUUUAUUUGGUAGAGACCUUAAGAUCUUCAUGACUUUCUCUACUUCGGUGUAGGUCUUUCCCAAGGCUUCUAGUUCAUUCACAAUCACAAGAAACCUAGAAAACAUCUCAACAAUAGAUUCAAAAUCCUUUAUAGAAAAUAAUUCAUAAUCAUGCAUAAGGAUAUUGAUUUUAGACUCUUGAACUUGGUCGUUUCCCUCAUAAGUGACUUCUAAUAGUUUCCAAAUUUCUUUAGCCGACUUACAAUGCCAAAUACGAUUAAAUUCAUUUCUAUCAAUAGCACAAUGUAAGAUAAAAACAGCUUUGACAUUUAAUUGAACUUUCUUUCUAUCAAGUUCAUCCCAUUCAUGCUUAAGUUUUGGAACCAUCACUCCAUUUUCUAAUUUUGAAGGAAUGUGGGGACCAUCUUCAAUGACAUCCCAUAAAUCAAGAUUAGUAGAUUGGAUAAACCAAGUCAUUUUGGUUUUCCAAUAGGGAUAAUCGGUUCCCGUGAAAAGUGGAGGUCGGGUGGUUGAAAAACUUUCAAGUUGGGAUGAGGUUGAUGGAAUAGCCAUUACUUCUUAGACAGUUAAGUCUUAACAAGAAGCCUUGCUCUGAUACCAGUUUGUUUGGAAACUUAAAAUGUUCUCAAUCUUUUUUAUGUGUUUUCAAAUAUUUCUUAAAAACAAAUUUUAUUUGUGAUACUUUAUUUUCAAUCAUUUUCAAUAUUUAUACAAUUAUUUUUUAAGACAGUUCUAAAAAAAACAAGUAAAACAAUUAAAUCAUGUUAUUAGAAAACACUAUAUUUUUAUAAUAAGUUCUCAAAAAAAUUACCGAAUGUGUUUUCAAAUUUGGUAAAUAGUUCCCAAAUAGGCUCCAAGAUACCCAUAUUUCAUUCUCUCAAAUUCAACCACAUGGACACUCGUAGCUUUUAAAAUGGCCACUUCACGGCAUCAACACCUUUAUUCUCAAUUCCCGCAUGAUGGUGUGGAGAACAAAUGUGUAUUCUUGAAGAAACUCUUAUCCCUUACUAUGAUUGGCUCUCAACUUACUUUGAGAACUAAGAUACCUUAAUGCUUGAUGGUCAAAGUACAACACAAACUCUUAAGGUACUAGAUCAUACUUCCAAUGACGAAGUGCUUGCAAAACAACAUAGAACUUUUUAUGAUAAAUGGAAUACCUCUAUUUAGUCUCAUUGGGUUUCUUACUAAAGUAUACAAGAUGCCCUUCUUGACUUCAGACACCACCUAUGCCAACCCCUUAUGCGUCACCUGCCACCUCAAAGACUUUUGAAAAAGUUGGAUUGCUUAAGUAGGUGCUUUAGUCAUUUGUCAUUUUAAAAGCUCUUUAAAAAUUUGGAUGACUAAGACUAUGUUGAAUAGAACUGUUUUCAAUAGUCUUAGCCCUUGUGCUGUCCUAGUCUUGCUCACCCUUACCAUGACAAUGGUGACACUAUGUUAGAACCACUAGAUUGAAGAGUACUUGAAAUGGACUCUCCACCCUUAUCGUUGCUUACUCCCCUGACUAGUGUUUUUACUGCCAUGUGAAGUGAUUUGAGUGACUUUAACACUGCUAGUAUCUCUGUGGUUGUCUCCGACCCUAGCUAGAGAUAAUCCUUGUGAACAAUAAGACUUCCUAGUUUGAGAAAUCCUAAGAUCUGUCUCUAAAGCCUUGUGAUAGGCUUCUUCUAAAGUGUUUUUACUUCUCUUUUAAUUUGUGGUCUCAAUCCAUUGAUAAAUUUUGCCAGAGUUACCCAAGAUUCCUCCCUUGCAUUGAAGCCUCUUAGAAUGAGCUAAGUAGUCUUUGACAUUGGAAGAUAAUUGCUUGAGGUUAAUUUCACAUUUCAGGCCAAAAGGUGAUUGGUUCUUCACCUAAUCACACUAGGUUAGAUGUGACACUUUGCCAAUAUUGCUUUACAGAGCCAACAAGUUUCAUUCUGGUGAAGUAAAUGUGUUGGGUGUCCUACAUAUCAUUAAAAGCAAUCCUCAAGAUUUGCUAAUCGUUCAUCAUAACUAGGGGCAUCUACUUGAACCUUCUUGGUUGUAUUCACUUGAAUUAUCAUUGUGGCUGUCAUGAAUGGGUCAUUCUCACCCAUGUCUCCUAGUCCAUCAUGAGGGUCAUUAUUGAUUGUGUAAUUUUGGGCUCUACUUCCCCUUAUAGUUUUUCUAAGGUUCUCUUAUUGUGCAUUUAUCAGUGUGGUUAAGAGACCUUAGCAUGACCAUGGACUCUCAAAAGGAAUAAGAUUUGGUUCAUUGGUAGGCAUUCCAAAAUGAGAGUCUACACUAUUUUUGUUCUAAGGUGUAGAAACUGGGUGACUCAAACUGAUGUCUUUGGUUAGACAUACCCAAAUUGACUUGUAAUUAGGAGAAUUGCCUAGCCUUCUCAGAAUGAAAUUCAAUCAAUUCAGAACAAAAUUCUGUUUGAAAGUCAUUACAGAGUUGUCUAUAGAAUUCUGUUGAAGCAAAUUGGGUCAUGGAGAUGACUCAAGGACCCUGAAUGAAGAAAGCAUAAAAAAAAUAAAUCAUGAGAUAGGUGUAUAAGGAUUUUUUUUUUCCUUUUUAAAAAAAAAAUUAAAGUAAGGGUGCGAAUGAAAAGAAAAUUAAAGGGUUUGAUUUGAAGAAUGAGAGCUUUAAACUAGCUCACAACCAGAUCUCAAGAUGGGCCGACAAAUUAUUGACUUUCCAAGUAAUAAAAAUAUUAGUCAACUUCAAUGAGAGAAUGCAUACCUUAUCAAUUCUACAAUUAAUCUCUAGCGUAAACUUCUUAUGAUGGCUUUUUUUUUCCUUUUAUUAUGAUGGCC
Molecule: long non-coding RNA, 27770 nt
Filed under: Vitis vinifera (wine grape)
Lineage: Eukaryota; Viridiplantae; Streptophyta; Magnoliopsida; Vitales; Vitaceae
Description: long non-coding RNA (VVIN_LNC001337)
Source: RNAcentral